AAAACGGGUGGUAAAUCCGGAAGGUUCGACUCCUUGCAAGGGGUGUUGGGAAAGAUUUCAUCGGUAUGGGAUGGGGUCGCGUCCUAUCAGGUAGUCGGCGGGGUAACGGCCCACCGAGCCUACGACGGGUAGCCGGCCUGAGAGGGCGACCGGCCACAUUGGGACUGAGAUACGGCCCAGACUCCUACGGGAGGCAGCAGUGGGGAAUAUUGCACAAUGGGCGCAAGCCUGAUGCAGCGACGCCGCGUGCGGGAUGACGGCCUUCGGGUUGUAAACCGCUUUUGAUCGGGAGCAAGCCUUCGGGUGAGUGUACCUUUCGAAUAAGCACCGGCUAACUACGUGCCAGCAGCCGCGGUAAUACGUAGGGUGCAAGCGUUAUCCGGAAUUAUUGGGCGUAAAGGGCUCGUAGGCGGUUCGUCGCGUCCGGUGUGAAAGUCCAUCGCUUAACGGUGGAUCUGCGCCGGGUACGGGCGGGCUGGAGUGCGGUAGGGGAGACUGAAUACCCGGUACCCGAG
RNAcentral lists this ribosomal RNA (515 nucleotides) under Bifidobacterium pseudocatenulatum. RNAcentral describes it as "bacterial SSU rRNA". It matches the Rfam family "Bacterial small subunit ribosomal RNA", at positions 153 to 681 of the family's 1533-position model. The record is from RNAcentral. Lineage: Bacteria; Bacillati; Actinomycetota; Actinomycetes; Bifidobacteriales; Bifidobacteriaceae.